RNAcentral lists this ribosomal RNA (554 nucleotides) under Mycobacterium asiaticum. RNAcentral describes it as "bacterial SSU rRNA". It matches the Rfam family "Bacterial small subunit ribosomal RNA", at positions 44 to 601 of the family's 1533-position model. Lineage: Bacteria; Bacillati; Actinomycetota; Actinomycetes; Mycobacteriales; Mycobacteriaceae. The record is from RNAcentral.
GUGCUUAACACAUGCAAGUCGAACGGAAAGGCCCCUUCGGGGGUACUCGAGUGGCGAACGGGUGAGUAACACGUGGGUGAUCUGCCCUGCACUUCGGGAUAAGCCUGGGAAACUGGGUCUAAUACCGGAUAGGACCACGGGAUGCAUGUCCUGUGGUGGAAAGCUUUUGCGGUGUGGGAUGGGCCCGCGGCCUAUCAGCUUGUUGGUGGGGUGACGGCCUACCAAGGCGACGACGGGUAGCCGGCCUGAGAGGGUGUCCGGCCACACUGGGACUGAGAUACGGCCCAGACUCCUACGGGAGGCAGCAGUGGGGAAUAUUGCACAAUGGGCGCAAGCCUGAUGCAGCGACGCCGCGUGGGGGAUGACGGCCUUCGGGUUGUAAACCUCUUUCACCAUCGACGAAGGUCCGGGUUUUCUCGGAUUGACGGUAGGUGGAGAAGAAGCACCGGCCAACUACGUGCCAGCAGCCGCGGUAAUACGUAGGGUGCGAGCGUUGUCCGGAAUUACUGGGCGUAAAGAGCUCGUAGGUGGUUUGUCGCGUUGUUCGUGAAAUC